RNAcentral lists this unclassified non-coding RNA (216 nucleotides) under Hevea brasiliensis (rubber tree). The record is from RNAcentral. Lineage: Eukaryota; Viridiplantae; Streptophyta; Magnoliopsida; Malpighiales; Euphorbiaceae.
CUGAAGUUUGUUCUUGCACCAACCUCCAAGAAAACAAACUGAUGACAACAUCUGUAGAUGUAGAUAUUUUUCCUAAUCAAACUGUUGCCCCCAAUAAGGAGGACAUAAUUGAAAUGAGUGACAUGAUUGGUCCAAAUGAUGUUUCAAAUAGCAAGGAAAAACAUAGUGAACAUUUUGAACCAAUAGAUACUUAUUUAAGUUCUACUUGUCAAUCGA